This 468-nucleotide ribosomal RNA is filed under the name uncultured bacterium. RNAcentral's name for it is "partial 16S ribosomal RNA". It matches the Rfam family "Bacterial small subunit ribosomal RNA", at positions 28 to 507 of the family's 1533-position model. The record is from RNAcentral.
GACGAACGCUGGCGGCGUGCUUAACACAUGCAAGUCGAACGGAAAGGCCCUGCUUUUGUGGGGUGCUCGAGUGGCGAACGGGUGAGUAACACGUGAGUAACCUGCCCUUGACUUUGGGAUAACUUCAGGAAACUGGGGCUAAUACCGGAUAGGAGCUCCUGCUGCAUGGUGGGGGUUGGAAAGUUUCGGCGGUUGGGGAUGGACUCGCGGCUUAUCAGCUUGUUGGUGGGGUAGUGGCUUACCAAGGCUUUGACGGGUAGCCGGCCUGAGAGGGUGACCGGCCACAUUGGGACUGAGAUACGGCCCAGACUCCUACGGGAGGCAGCAGUGGGGAAUAUUGCUCAAUGGGCGGAAGCCUGAUGCAGCAACGCCGCGUGCGGGAUGACGGCCUUCGGGUUGUAAACCGCUUUCGCCUGUGACGAGGCGUGAGUGACGGUAAUGGGUAAAGAAGCACCGGCUAACUACGUG